AUUGAACGCUGGCGGCAGGCUUAACACAUGCAAGUCGAACGAUGAAAAUAUAGCUUGCUAUAUCGGAUUAGUGGCGGACGGGUGAGUAACACUUAGGAAUCUACCUUUUAGCGGGGGAUAGCUCGGGGAAACUCGAAUUAAUACCGCAUAAUUUCUACGGAAUAAAGAGGGCUUUUAGCUCUCACUAAAAGAUGAGCCUAAGUAAGAUUAGCUAGUUGGUGGGGUAAAAGCCUACCAAGGCGACGAUCUUUAGCUGGUCUGAGAGGAUGAUCAGCCACACUGGGACUGAGACACGGCCCAGACUCCUACGGGAGGCAGCAGUGGGGAAUAUUGGACAAUGGGGGCAACCCUGAUCCAGCCAUGCCGCGUGUGUGAAGAAGGCCUUUUGGUUGUAAAGCACUUUAAGCAGUGAAGAAGACCUAUUGGUUAAUACCCAAUAGCGAUGACAUUAACUGCAGAAUAAGCACCGGCUAACUCUGUGCCAGCAGCCGCGGUAAUACAGAGGGUGCAAGCGUUAAUCGGAAUUACUGGGCGUAAAGCGAGCGUAGGUGGUUAAAUAAGUCAGAUGUGAAAGCCCUGGGCUCAACCUAGGAACGGCAUCUGAAACUAUUUAACUAGAGUAGGUGAGAGGGAAGUAGAAUUUCAGGUGUAGCGGUGAAAUGCGUAGAGAUCUGAAGGAAUACCGAUGGCGAAGGCAGCUUCCUGGCAUCAUAUUGACACUGAGGCUCGAAAGCGUGGGUAGCAAACAGG
RNAcentral lists this ribosomal RNA (750 nucleotides) under uncultured bacterium. RNAcentral's name for it is "bacterial SSU rRNA". It matches the Rfam family "Bacterial small subunit ribosomal RNA", at positions 28 to 776 of the family's 1533-position model. The record is from RNAcentral.